ACGAACGGCCACCGCCACAGCACGCACCUGUGUCUGUCCUGCGUCAAACCUCCAUUAGAUGGUGUUAUCGCCCAGUAGGACAGACCGUGGGUGUCGUCGUCGCCUGUAGAAGGUCUCCAUCGGACGAGGGUCUCUUGGAGCUCGUGGCAUCACCGUCUCUUCAAGCUCUCUUCUAUCGUCAUCUCCUCUUCGAGCUCUCCUCAGACGCACCUGUGCGUCAAACCUCCAUUAGAUGGUGUUAUCGCCCAGUAGGACAGACCGUGGGUGUCGUCGUCGCCUGUAGAAGGUCUCCAUCGGACGAGGGUCUCUUGGAGCUCGUGGCAUCACCGUCUCUUCAAGCUCUC
RNAcentral lists this long non-coding RNA (344 nucleotides) under Arachis ipaensis. RNAcentral describes it as "long non-coding RNA (AIPA_LNC001465)". The record is from RNAcentral. Lineage: Eukaryota; Viridiplantae; Streptophyta; Magnoliopsida; Fabales; Fabaceae.